Molecule: ribosomal RNA, 425 nt
Filed under: uncultured bacterium
Lineage: Bacteria
Description: partial 16S ribosomal RNA
Rfam family: Bacterial small subunit ribosomal RNA
Source: RNAcentral
GUGGGGAAUCUUAGACAAUGGGCGCAAGCCUGAUCUAGCCAUGCCGCGUGAGUGAUGAAGGCCCUAGGGUUGUAAAGCUCUUUCAGCUGGGAAGAUAAUGACGGUACCAGCAGAAGAAGCCCCGGCUAACUCCGUGCCAGCAGCCGCGGUAAUACGGAGGGGGCUAGCGUUGUUCGGAAUUACUGGGCGUAAAGCGCGCGUAGGCGGACUGAAAAGUUGGGGGUGAAAUCCCGGGGCUCAACCUUGGAACUGCCUUCAAAACUCCUGGUCUGGAGUUCGAGAGAGGUGAGUGGAAUUCCGAGUGUAGAGGUGAAAUUCGUAGAUAUUCGGAGGAACACCAGUGGCGAAGGCGGCUCACUGGCUCGAUACUGACGCUGAGGUGCGAAAGCGUGGGGAGCAAACAGGAUUAGAAACCCCGGUAGUCC